GCGGAUGUGGUGCGUGGUGCACGAUUGCCCUCCGUUCUUGACCACGCAGCAGCUUUGAAGCAAUUGAAUGGGGUUCGAUUCCCCGCGUCCGCA
Mycena metata is the source of this 93-nucleotide non-coding RNA. The record is from the annotation of a GenBank genome assembly. NCBI's taxonomy places the organism in Eukaryota, Fungi, Basidiomycota, Agaricomycetes, Agaricales, Mycenaceae.